UCUUAAAAGGAAAAAAUAAUGCUUAAUCAUUAAGGUUUUUAAAUUUAAAUUUUUGGUAUUGUGGCAAACAUGUAUCAACUUUCACAUGAAUGAUUACCUGUUAAGUCUAUACAAAGUAUGGAAUAGAUAAAAACAUAUUGCCCCACAAGUCCUUUGCUCAAUGACUAAGUGUGAGCUUCCUCAUUUCUUAACCUCUUCAAAAAAACUCCUUUUAAAU
Molecule: long non-coding RNA, 217 nt
Filed under: Lathyrus oleraceus (garden pea)
Lineage: Eukaryota; Viridiplantae; Streptophyta; Magnoliopsida; Fabales; Fabaceae
Description: Pisum sativum (pea) long non-coding RNA (PSAT_LNC022899)
Source: RNAcentral